Long non-coding RNA from Nicotiana tabacum (common tobacco), 691 nucleotides. RefSeq lists it as uncharacterized. Lineage: Eukaryota; Viridiplantae; Streptophyta; Magnoliopsida; Solanales; Solanaceae. The record is from RefSeq and is a predicted model, not a curated record.
CGUGGGGAGAAAAAGAUAAACAAAACCCUGUCGACGCAGAUCGAGUUGUAAAUUACGUUGAUUACAAAUUCAUUAUUUCGCUCUUUGCAUCUUCAUCAUCCAUUGCAAAGUUCAGACUUCAGAGAAAGUGUUCACACCAAAGUGAGAGAGAUGCAUCUAUGGCCAUCAAUGAGAUUAAGGGACUCAUUCAAAUUGGGUUACUUGAAGAAUCUAGAAUGGAACCUUCACAGAAUGGAUAGUCAGAAGAAACGUAACAAGUCCCAGAACUGUGGAAAUAAUGAUCAGAAGCUUCUGGAUGAUGAACCAAGCAGUUCUAGUACCAGCGGUGGAGGAGGAGGGAAAUUAGUUGUGAUUUGUAGGGACUUACUCAUGAUCCUUUCUUGUUGCUACUGCUGUUUCUGCUGUGGAGCCUGUGUUGCCGAUGAAGAAGACUAAAGACAAGACAGCUAAUGGAAGAAAGAGAAUCCAUUAUGGAAUUAGAUGUAAAGAAAAGAUUAGAGUUUAAUGAAAAAGGACAACUGUAAUUUAAGCUUCGCAACUGUUCUGAGCUAUGGGCUAAGUUAAUUACUAUUGUUUAUCCUCUAUUUAUAAUUAUAUUAGACUAAUCCUUUAGAACCAUAGAUUAGGGAAUGAUUUAAGUUACAUCUUUACUGACAGAUCUCAAUAACUGGCACCUAUUUUGCCAUCGUUA